This 278-nucleotide ribosomal RNA is filed under the name uncultured bacterium. Its description in RNAcentral is "partial 16S ribosomal RNA". The record is from RNAcentral.
CUGCUGCCUCCCGUAGGAGUUUGGGCCGUGUCUCAGUCCCAAUGUGGCCGUCCACCCUCUCAGGCCGGCUACUGAUCGUCGCUUUGGUAGGCCGUUACCCUGCCAACUGGCUAAUCAGACGCGGGCCCAUCUUAUACCACCGGAGUUUUUCACCCUGGGCCAUGCGGCCCUGGGCGCUUAUGCGGUCUUAGCACCUAUUUCUAAGUGUUAUCCCCCUGUAUAAGGCAGGUUACCCACGCGUUACUCACCCGUCCGCCACUAAAGUAAAAAUUGUUCCG